Cricetulus griseus (Chinese hamster) is the source of this 254-nucleotide unclassified non-coding RNA. Its record names the gene 7SK. It matches the Rfam family "7SK RNA". Rfam says of the family: 7SK was discovered as an abundant small nuclear RNA in the mid-70s but a possible function has only recently been suggested. Two independent studies have found that 7SK RNA binds the CDK9/cyclin T complex (known as elongation factor P-TEFb). Lineage: Eukaryota; Metazoa; Chordata; Mammalia; Rodentia; Cricetidae. The record is from Ensembl.
GGAUGCGAUGGUGAUCUGGCUGCCUGUGCAUCCCUCAUGAAGCUGUUUCUAUUGUUGAAGAGGACAAACUUUGUGAUAUAGAAGGGCCAGUGUUUGGUCAAGAGAAUUUGAAUAGCUACACCCACCUGUUAGAACCUCCCAAGAAACUGUCUAGGGUUUAAAACAACAAUAGUAUAGAGCUUGGUGUACUUUUGCUUAUACACCCAAAGAGCAUGCAGUCGCUACCUGGCAGAGUUCCUCCGUAAUGUUCCUUU